This 468-nucleotide ribosomal RNA is filed under the name uncultured bacterium. RNAcentral describes it as "partial 16S ribosomal RNA". It matches the Rfam family "Bacterial small subunit ribosomal RNA", at positions 28 to 507 of the family's 1533-position model. The record is from RNAcentral.
GACGAACGCUGGCGGCGUGCUUAACACAUGCAAGUCGAACGGAAAGGCCCUGCUUUUGUGGGGUGCUCGAGUGGCGAACGGGUGAGUAACACGUGAGUAACCUGCCCUUGACUUUGGGAUAACUUCAGGAAACUGGGGCUAAUACCGGAUAGGAGCUCCUGCUGCAUGGUGGGGGUUGGAAAGUUUCGGCGGUUGGGGAUGGACUCGCGGCUUAUCAGCUUGUUGGUGGGGUAGUGGCUUACCAAGGCUUUGACGGGUAGCCGGCCUGAGAGGGUGACCGGCCACAUUGGGACUGAGAUACGGCCCAGACUCCUACGGGAGGCAGCAGGGGGGAAUAUUGCACAAUGGGCGGAAGCCUAAUGCAGCAACGCCGCGUGCGGGAUGACGGCCUUCGGGUUGUAAACCGCUUUCGCCUGUGACGAAGCGUGAGUGACGGUAAUGGGUAAAGAAGCACCGGCUAACUACGUG